CCCUUAGAUGUUCUGGGCCGCACGCGCGCUACACUGACGAAUGCAACGAGCUUAUAACCUUGGCCGAAAGGUCUGGGUAAUCUCCAAAUUUCGUCGUGAUGGGGAUAGAUUAUUGCAAUUAUUAAUCUUCAACGAGGAAUGCCUAGUAAGCGCAAGUCAUCAGCUUGCGUUGAUUACGUCCCUGCCCUUUGUACACACCGCCCGUCGCUCCUACCGAUUGAAUGGUCCGGUGAAGCGUUCGGACCGUGGCCUUUGGACGGUUCGCCGUCUGUUGGCUGCGGGAAGUUCGUUAAACCUUAGCAUUUAGAGGAAGGAGAAGUCGUAACA
Molecule: ribosomal RNA, 327 nt
Filed under: uncultured eukaryote
Lineage: Eukaryota
Description: partial 18S ribosomal RNA
Rfam family: Eukaryotic small subunit ribosomal RNA
Source: RNAcentral